AUGCCCAAAGGAUCCUUGGAUAGGUGGAUCUAUUGUCGACCUGACGAUGAUGCUCCUCCUCUAGAUUGGAGCACACGAUGCAAGAUAAUCACUAACAUAGCUAAGGGUCUCUCUUAUCUUCAUGAGGAAUGCGUGAAGAGAAUUGCUCAUUUGGAUGUCAAGCCACAAAACAUCCUCAUAGAUGACAACUUCAAUGCCAAAAUUUCUGAUUUUGGCCUAUGUAAGCUCAUUGAUAGGGAUAUGAGCCAAGUGGUUACUAGAAUGAGAGGGACACCUGGAUACUUAGCUCCUGAAUGGUUGACAUCACAAAUCAUAGAGAAGGCUGACGUUUAUAGCUUUGGCAUUGUGGUCAUGGAAAUCAUCAGUGGAAGAAAGAACCUCGACACUUCCUAG
RNAcentral lists this ribosomal RNA (393 nucleotides) under Triticum aestivum (bread wheat). RNAcentral's name for it is "partial small subunit ribosomal RNA". Lineage: Eukaryota; Viridiplantae; Streptophyta; Magnoliopsida; Poales; Poaceae. The record is from RNAcentral.